This 495-nucleotide ribosomal RNA is filed under the name uncultured bacterium. RNAcentral's name for it is "partial 16S ribosomal RNA". It matches the Rfam family "Bacterial small subunit ribosomal RNA", at positions 28 to 507 of the family's 1533-position model. The record is from RNAcentral.
GACGAACGCUGGCGGCGUGCCUAAUACAUGCAAGUAGAACGCUGAAGGAGGAGCUUGCUUCUCCGGAUGAGUUGCGAACGGGUGAGUAACGCGUAGGUAACCUGCCUGGUAGCGGGGGAUAACUAUUGGAAACGAUAGCUAAUACCGCAUAACAGUAGAUGUUGCAUGACAUUUGCUUAAAAGGUGCAAUUGCAUCACUACCAGAUGGACCUGCGUUGUAUUAGCUAGUUGGUGAGGUAACGGCUCACCAAGGCGACGAUACAUAGCCGACCUGAGAGGGUGAUCGGCCACACUGGGACUGAGACACGGCCCAGACUCCUACGUGAGGCAGCAGUAGGGAAUCUUCGGCAAUGGACGGAAGUCUGACCGAGCAACGCCGCGUGAGUGAAGAAGGUUUUCGGAUCGUAAAGCUCUGUUGUAAGAGAAGAACGAGUGUGAGAGUGGAAAGUUCACACUGUGACGGUAUCUUACCAGAAAGGGACGGCUAACUACGUG